Molecule: long non-coding RNA, 1291 nt
Filed under: Ooceraea biroi (clonal raider ant)
Lineage: Eukaryota; Metazoa; Arthropoda; Insecta; Hymenoptera; Formicidae
Description: uncharacterized LOC109610832, transcript variant X2
Source: RNAcentral
CACAGGCGUAUAAAUACAAGGUCGCACAGUAAUCGCGAGGAAAUAAGCUGAAGAGCAACCGGAAUACGAAAAACAUUUCAUUCCAGCAUUACGGAUUACGAAUACUAUAAUUCGAUUCAAUUUUGGACGCAACGCCAUACCAAAGAGAAUUAUAAGCCGCAUUCCCAAUCAGUUUGCUCUACAAGGGAAGCAGAAUAGAUUCCGGGUUUCCUUAAAUAAUUGCAAACGUCGACUGCAGGAUUCUCACCGCUUACCUUCGCUCUCAAGCCGUUGGCAGUACCGAUUGACUAUAAUGAUGAAAUGGAAUAAUUGCGGAUAAAUAAACUGUAUUUCCAUGCUCUAAGAUAAAAUACAGCAUUUACGGUUAUCAUCAAGUUAUUACCUACAUCCAUAAAGCAACAUGCAUGUGAUUCUCGCCGAGGUUACUCACGAUGACGAUAAUAAAUCCUAAAUAAUAAACAGCAUAUGAUGAGGAUAUCUGAUAUGAACAACAUCAAUGCAAUAUAAGUGUAAAGAUUCUUAAUGUUUUCCGAGAAUAUAAUAAUUUGCUGAGAUGCUUUGUAUGAUCAACGCUCUCAAUAUUAUACGUUCACGAUAGAUAUCAUAUUUUUGGAAAAAGCUUUUAGCAGCCACUCGCGUAAAUUAGGACCACCAGUGUGAGGUAUCAAAGAUUCAUAUCUUUAUGUUACAGAUGCGGUCGUGUUUUCGAUCCAUUUUCGAUCGUCUCGUGAAAGUUACUCACCAGAGUAAUCGAUGAGUGAAUUUGCAAUGGAAAAUCCAUAAUCGCACAUUGCCAGGUGAAAGUGUGAUGAACAGUAGACUAUGUGCAUGGCACUACUCACUCCAUCCAUAAAAUAAGAAAAAUUAUCUGUAUUAUAAUGUAUCACCAUGUAUUAGUAUUGAAUGAGCAGAGCUAUGCUCAACAUCACGAUCCAAAGGAAUCGGUACAGAGGGGUCGAUGGUAGAUAUGGCCAGAUACCACAGGCGCGAAGACCGAUCUUCACAACUUGACUAACAGUGCUCACUUCCAUGUUCAGUGGAAAACUACAAGAAAUUCAUAGAGAAUCUCUCGAAGCAUGCGGUCGUGUCUUCGAUCUAUUUUCAAUCAUCUCAUGAAAAUUGCGGAACUUACCAGAGUGACGAUAAGUGAAUUUACCAUGGAAAUUCCACAGCCGUAUAUUGCCAGCAAGUACCCCGCAACUGUAUAGGAUUUAUGACGGUCAACUGGAGGCCGAUAAUCCACUUCGAGAAGCGGUGUGACAGUUUGACUUUAUCUGUCGUAAUGCGUAAA